AACGAACGCUGGCGGCAGGCUUAGCACAUGCAAGUCGAGCGCUGUAGCAAUACAGAGCGGCAGACGGGUGAGUAACGCGUGGGAAUCUACCCAUCUCUACGGAAUAACUCAGGGAAACUUGUGCUAAUACCGUAUACGCCCUUAGGGGGAAAGAUUUAUCGGAGAUGGAUGAGCCCGCGUUGGAUUAGCUAGUUGGUGGGUAAAGGCCUACCAAGGCGACGAUCCGAUAGCUGGUCUGAGAGGAUGAUCAGCCACAUUGGGACUGAGACACGGCCCAAACUCCUAACGGGGAGGCAGCAGUGGGAAUAUUGGACAAUGGGCGCAAGCCUGAUCCAGCCAUGCCGCGUGUGUGAUGAAGGCCUUAGGGUGUAAAGCACUUUCACCGGAGAAGAUAAUGACGGUAUCCGGGGAAGAAGCCCCGGCUAACUUCGUGCCAGCAGCCGCGGUAAU
This 450-nucleotide ribosomal RNA is filed under the name uncultured bacterium. RNAcentral describes it as "bacterial SSU rRNA". It matches the Rfam family "Bacterial small subunit ribosomal RNA", at positions 29 to 524 of the family's 1533-position model. The record is from RNAcentral.